This is a small RNA of Hyphomicrobium nitrativorans NL23, 67 nucleotides long. It matches the Rfam family "int-alpA RNA". From Rfam's summary of the family: Acidobacteria (1 example), Planctomycetes (1 example), Proteobacteria. The record is from Rfam. Lineage: Bacteria; Pseudomonadati; Pseudomonadota; Alphaproteobacteria; Hyphomicrobiales; Hyphomicrobiaceae.
UGCGCGGCUAGGCUGAUCCCCGAAAGCCGGAUUUCGCACCCGGUUGCCGCGCAUUCCUCUCGUGCGA